UAUGAAAAUGAUCUCAUUUCAUACAUAAACAGCAAUAAUAUUCUUUAUGUUGCUCUAAUUGGACUACAGAUGGUUUAUUGUAGCAACUGACUCAAUACCAUAUGCUGCAGGGUAAAGUAAGCUUGGCUGCAAUUUCUCAGGAAGUAAUCAUUUCACAAAUUCCACAUUAUCAUUAUCAUAUAGUCAGUUUAUUUAAAUCAUUUGUCAUAAUCACUUUCUCCUUUCCACAGUAUUCAACAUGGAUUCAAUUUACACUAGAACAUAUGUUUUUCAUUUUCACUUGUAUCAUUUACAGGAGCAUAUAUUACUAUCAGAAAAACUCUACAAUCUUACUUUCC
Molecule: long non-coding RNA, 338 nt
Filed under: Androctonus crassicauda
Lineage: Eukaryota; Metazoa; Arthropoda; Arachnida; Scorpiones; Buthidae
Source: RNAcentral